GGAUUUCGGGAUGGGCCAGUCGGUCUGCCGUAAGGUAUGUUACUGGCUGGUCUGUCCUUCUUCGCAAAGACUGCGUGUGCCCUUGAUUGUGUGUGCGUAGGAUUUGCGACGUUUACUUUGAAAAAAUUAGAGUGUUCAAAGCAGGCUGACCGCUUGAAUACAUGAGCAUGGAAUAAUGGAAUAGGACUUUGGUUCUAUUUUGUUGGUUUCUUGAACCGAAGUAAUGAUUAAGAGGGACAGUUGGGGGCAUUCGUAUUUCGUUGUCAGAGGUGAAAUUCUUGGAUUUACGAAAGACGAACAACUGCGAAAGCAUUUGCCAAGAAUGUUUUCAUUAAUCAAGAACGAAAGUUAGAGGCUCGAAGACGAUCAGAUACCGUCCUAGUUCUAACCAUAAACGAUGCCGACUAGGGAUCAGCGGGCGUUAUUUUAUGACCCCGUUGGCACCUUAUGGGAAACCAAAGUUUUUGGGUUCCGGGGGAAGUAUGGUUGCAAAGCUGAAACUUAAAGGAAUUGACGGAAGGGCACCACCAGGAGUGGAGCCUGCG
Molecule: ribosomal RNA, 545 nt
Filed under: Cyanea lamarckii
Lineage: Eukaryota; Metazoa; Cnidaria; Scyphozoa; Semaeostomeae; Cyaneidae
Description: SSU rRNA
Rfam family: Eukaryotic small subunit ribosomal RNA
Source: RNAcentral